AGACAUUUUUGAGAUUCUGAUUUAUUUAUAAUAUAAUAUUGUUUGCUAAAGAUCCAAAUUUAAGGCAUACAUGGAAAAACGUUUUAGUAACAGACUAACCCUUACGAUGUUUGUUUUUCAUGGUUUUGAAAUAAACAUACAAAAAGAUUGUUUUAUAUAUUUAUUACAUAAAUCAAAUCAAUAAAAUUCAAAUAUAUAUAUAAUAGGUGCGUGCGUGUAUUUUAAUUGGCACGUGCAGACAACACACAUAAUAUCAAAGUACUUCCCUGAAAAAAAUGUAAAGUUAAGCCCGUGUAACUCAAGUAAUUGCAAAUUUUAUUAUCAUGUAUAUGUUAUAAAUGGAAUAAAUUUAAAGCUGUUUUAA
This is a long non-coding RNA of Melitaea cinxia (Glanville fritillary), 364 nucleotides long. RefSeq lists it as uncharacterized. The record is from RefSeq and is a predicted model, not a curated record. The transcript is spliced from 2 exons. Lineage: Eukaryota; Metazoa; Arthropoda; Insecta; Lepidoptera; Nymphalidae.